This 952-nucleotide ribosomal RNA is filed under the name uncultured bacterium. Its description in RNAcentral is "bacterial SSU rRNA". It matches the Rfam family "Bacterial small subunit ribosomal RNA", at positions 56 to 1015 of the family's 1533-position model. The record is from RNAcentral.
UGCGCGCCGUCAGACGACGGGCCUUGUACACACCGAAGGCAGCGUGUUAGAAUCACCCGUUUAAUGAACCUCGUUCCCGGGCCUUGUACGCACCGAAUGGCUAAUACUGGAUAGGAACAUUGAUGGCAUCAUGAAUGUUUUAAAAGACCUUCGGGUAUGCUUAAGGAGGGGCCUGCGGCGCAUUAGUUAGUUGGAGAGGUAAAAGCUCCCCAAGACGAUGAUGCGUAGCCGGACUGAGAGGUUGAACGGCCACAUUGGGACUGAGAAACGGCCCAAACUCCUACGGGAGGCAGCAGUAGGGAAUUUUCGGCAAUGGGGGAAACCCUGACCGAGCAACGCCGCGUGAAUGAAGACGUAUUUCGGUAUGUAAAGUUCUUUUAUCGAGGAAGAAUGGCGCAGUGUGAACACUGCGUAUGACGGUACUUGAUGAAUAAGCCCCGGCUAACUAUGUGCCAGCAGCCGCGGUAAUACAUAGGGGGCAAGCGUUAUCCGGAAUUAUUGGGCGUAAAGGGUGCGUAGGCGGUUGUUUAAGUCUUUGGUGUAAGUGCAGUGCUUAACGCUGUGAUGCUAAAGAAACUGGACAACUUGAGUGUGGUAGAGGCAAGUGGAAUUCCAUGUGUAGCGGUAAAAUGCGUAAAUAUAUGGAGGAACACCAGUGGCGAAGGCGGCUUGCUGGGCCACAACUGACGCUGAGGCACGAAAGCGUGGGGAGCAAACAGGAUUAGAUACCCUGGUAGUCCACGCCGUAAACGAUGAGUACUAAGUGUUGGAGGAAUUCAGUGCUGUAGUUAACGCAAUAAGUACUCCGCCUGAGUAGUACGUACGCAAGUAUGAAACUCAAAGGAAUUGACGGGACCCCGCACAAGCGGUGGAUCAUGUUGUUUAAUUCGAUGCAACGCGAAAAACCUUACCUACCCUUGACAUGUCUGGAACCUUGCUGAGAGGCGAGGGU